Talpa occidentalis (Iberian mole) is the source of this 1162-nucleotide long non-coding RNA. RefSeq lists it as uncharacterized. The transcript has 7 exons. Lineage: Eukaryota; Metazoa; Chordata; Mammalia; Eulipotyphla; Talpidae. The record is from RefSeq and is a predicted model, not a curated record.
GAGUUCCAGGAGGCUCCUGCCUGAUUCCACUGGAAGGCAUCUGAAGGAAAGACUGUCUCCUCUCGAGGCUCUCCCGCAGGCCAUGCCUCUGUCAGUACGGCCCACCCCCAGCUUCUGCCGGCACAGCCUCACUUCUGCAUGAAGGGCUGUGACACUGGAUGGUGUGUCUGAGCUCUGGAAGAGGACACCAGUGUAGACCCAGCCCUGGGCUGAGAACGAAGGGCUGUGAGAGGUCUUUGCAGCAGAAACUGACUUGGAAGCCCCCAGAGGAAGUGCUCACUAGUGCGAUGGGGUGGGGAUGUCUGUGUACCUGGGAAACUCACCAUGUGCCGCUGAAAGGGGAGUGCUACUGAGACUUUUCGCAGAGGUACCUCCAGGGUGCCACUCUAAACCCAACACCUCUCCCCACCAACGACAGAAACUACAGAUAGUAACCCCAUCUUGAACGGUUCCUUUCAUCAUCAUUUGCUGACAUCUCUUUGGCCGAAAGAUUGGGAACCAGGAACCAGAGUGCUCUCAGGAGUCCUCAGAUUUCAGCAUCUGCGAAGAGAGCCUGAUGCCUUGUUUACAGGGUCUAGGUCCAGCAGGAAGAAUAUUGAAUGUCACCCCCUUGAGGGACCCCGAGACUCCAGCACAUUUUGGGACCUCAAGGAGAAGAACCCACUCAAAGAUGCAGGAAUCCCCUCAGUACAUAAUUUCUGAAGCCUCUAUUGAUGUGGCUCUCUGGCCCUGCUACCUGAAAUACCUUUUCAAAGGAGAACAAAAAGGGAUUGUUGACCCCCUGGCCUAAGCUGCAGCCCUCCACAGAGGACCCUCAAGCUCCAGCUCCUCCUCCACGAGAAACAGCCAGCCCAGAGGCCCCACCCCUUGGAUUCCCCAUGUGCCUCCUCCCACAACCAGCAGCACAAGUUAGCACAGGGACUAGUGUUAGGGAGACCAUAUCCCAGGCCCUUGAGGUAGGGACAGCUCUACGUCCUGCUCCAGCAGGAAGACAUUACAGAAGAUGGACCUUCCCCCUUCAACUCCCCAAGAGAUUUUGGGCCCAUAUGGGAUAUGGUCCGUGUGGUCGGGUGGGAACCAUGAAGCUAAGAGUAGAAAAUUUAGGAUGGGGGUGUCACAAGACCGGAAACUAGAGGUGAGCGUAGAAAUAACUAAUAGUUGU